GAUGAACGCUGGCGGCGUGCCUAAUACAUGCAAGUCGAGCGAACGGACGAGAAGCUUGCUUCUCUGAUGUUAGCGGCGGACGGGUGAGUAACACGUGGAUAACCUACCUAUAAGACUGGGAUAACUUCGGGAAACCGGAGCUAAUACCGGAUAAUAUUUUGAACCGCAUGGUUCAAAAGUGAAAGACGGUCUUGCUGUCACUUAUAGAUGGAUCCGCGCUGCAUUAGCUAGUUGGUACGGUAACGGCUUACCAAGGCAACGAUGCAUAGCCGACCUGAGAGGGGGAUCGGCCACACUGGAACUUAGACACGGUCCAGACUCCUACGGGAGGCAGCAGUAGGGAAUCUUCCGCAAUGGGCGAAAGCCUGACGGAGCAACGCCGCGUGAGUGAUGAAGGUCUUCGGAUCGUAAAACUCUGUUAUGAGGGAAGAACAUAUGUGUAAGUAACUGUGCACAUCUUGACGGUACCUAAUCAGAAAGCCACGGCUAACUACGUG
Molecule: ribosomal RNA, 497 nt
Filed under: uncultured bacterium
Lineage: Bacteria
Description: partial 16S ribosomal RNA
Rfam family: Bacterial small subunit ribosomal RNA
Source: RNAcentral